GAUGAACGCUGGCGGCAUGCCUAACACAUGCAAGUCGAUCGGUAAGGCUCUUCGGAGUACACGAGAGGCGGACGGCUGAGUAACGCGUAGGAACACACCCUGCAGUGAGGGAUAAGACACCGAAAGGUGUUCUAAUACCGAAUACGGUCUUCGGAUUAAAGCAUUUAUGCGCUGAAGGAGUGGCCUGCGUCAUAUUAGAUAGUUGUUGGGGUAAUGGCUCACCAAGUCGAUGAUGUGUAGCUGGUCUGAGAGGAUGAUCAGCCAGACUGGAACUGAGACACGGUCCAGACUCCUACGGGAGGCAGCAGUGAGGAAUAUGUCACGAUGAGCGAGAGCUUGAGGGAGCAAUGCCGCGUGCAGGAUGAAGGCCCUCGGGUUGUAAACUGCUUUUAUAAGAGAAGAUUAUGACGGUAACUUAUGAAUAAGGGACGGCUAACUACGUG
Molecule: ribosomal RNA, 443 nt
Filed under: uncultured bacterium
Lineage: Bacteria
Description: partial 16S ribosomal RNA
Rfam family: Bacterial small subunit ribosomal RNA
Source: RNAcentral